RNAcentral lists this ribosomal RNA (270 nucleotides) under uncultured prokaryote. RNAcentral describes it as "partial 16S ribosomal RNA". It matches the Rfam family "Bacterial small subunit ribosomal RNA", at positions 524 to 793 of the family's 1533-position model. The record is from RNAcentral.
UACGUAGGUGGUGAGCGUUGUCCGGAUUUACUGGGCGUAAAGGGAGCGUAGGCGGACUUUUAAGUGAGAUGUGAAAUACCCGGGCUCAACUUGGGUGCUGCAUUUCAAACUGGAAGUCUAGAGUGCAGGAGAGGAGAAUGGAAUUCCUAGUGUAGCGGUGAAAUGCGUAGAGAUUAGGAAGAACACCAGUGGCGAAGGCGAUUCUCUGGACUGUAACUGACGCUGAGGCUCGAAAGCGUGGGGAGCGAACAGGAUUAGAUACCCCUGUAA